AACGAACGCUGGCGGCAUGCCUAACACAUGCAAGUCGAACGCUCCGCAAGGGGAGUGGCGAACGGGUGAGUAACGCGUGGGAACCUGCCCAGUAGUUGGGGAUAACCGCGGGAAACUGCGGCUAAUACCGAAUACGCCCUAAGGGGAAAGAUUUAUCGCUAUUGGAGGGGCCCGCGUCGGAUUAGCUGGUUGGUGAGGUAACGGCUCACCAAGGCGACGAUCCGUAGCUGGUCUGAGAGGANGAUCAGCCACACUGGGACUUAGACACGGCCCAGACUCCUACGGGAGGCAGCAGUGGGGAAUAUUGGACAAUGGGGCAACCCUGAUCCAGCAAUGCCGCGUGAGUGAUGAAGGCCUUAGGGUUGUAAAGCUCUUUUACCGGGACGAUGAUGACGGUACCCGGAGAAUAAGCCCCGGCUAACUUCGUGCCA
RNAcentral lists this ribosomal RNA (431 nucleotides) under uncultured bacterium. RNAcentral's name for it is "bacterial SSU rRNA". It matches the Rfam family "Bacterial small subunit ribosomal RNA", at positions 29 to 510 of the family's 1533-position model. The record is from RNAcentral.